This 440-nucleotide ribosomal RNA is filed under the name uncultured bacterium. RNAcentral's name for it is "partial 16S ribosomal RNA". It matches the Rfam family "Bacterial small subunit ribosomal RNA", at positions 338 to 795 of the family's 1533-position model. The record is from RNAcentral.
CCUACGGGUGGCAGCAGUGAGGAAUAUUGGUCAAUGGUCGGGAGACUGAACCAGCGAAGCCGCGUGAGUGAUGAAGUAUUUCGGUAUGCAAAGCUCUAUCAGCAGGGAAGAAAAUGACGGUACCUGACUAAGAAGCCCCGGCUAAAUACGUGCCAGCAGCCGCGGUGAUACGGAGGGGGCAAGCGUUAUCCGGAUGUACUGGGGGUAAAGGGAGAGUAGACGGCGGUGCAAGCCAGAUGUGAAAGCCCGGGGCUCAACCCCCGGACUGCAUUUGGAACUGUGCUGCUAGAGUGUCGGAGAGGCAGGCGGAAUUCCUAGUGUAGCGGUGAAAUGCGUAGAUAUUAGGAGGAACACCAGUGGCGAAGGCGGCCUGCUGGACGAUGACUGACGUUGAGGCUCGAAAGCGUGGGGAGCAAACAGGAUUAGAUACCCGAGUAGUC